GCCUUCGUGGUGUAGUGGUCAGCACGCUCGACGCGUAACCGAGAGGUCCGUGGUUCGAUUCCCGGCAAAGGCA
Molecule: transfer RNA, 73 nt
Filed under: Stegodyphus mimosarum
Lineage: Eukaryota; Metazoa; Arthropoda; Arachnida; Araneae; Eresidae
Rfam family: tRNA
About the family: Transfer RNA (tRNA) molecules are approximately 80 nucleotides in length. Their secondary structure includes four short double-helical elements and three loops (D, anti-codon, and T loops). Further hydrogen bonds mediate the characteristic L-shaped molecular structure. tRNAs have two regions of fundamental functional importance: the anti-codon, which is responsible for specific mRNA codon recognition, and the 3' end, to which the tRNAs corresponding amino acid is attached (by aminoacyl-tRNA synthetases). tRNAs cope with the degeneracy of the genetic code in two manners: having more than one tRNA (with a specific anti-codon) for a particular amino acid; and 'wobble' base-pairing, i.e. permitting non-standard base-pairing at the 3rd anti-codon position.
Source: Rfam by way of RNAcentral